CUACGGGCUGCACCAGUGGGGAAUAUUGCACAAUGGAGGAAACUCUGAUGCAGCAACGCCGCGUGGAGGAUGACACAUUUCGGUGCGUAAACUCCUUUUAUAUGAGAAGAUAAUGACGGUAUCAUAUGAAUAAGCACCGGCUAACUCCGUGCCAGCAGCCGCGGUAAUACGGGGGGUGCAAGCGUUACUCGGAAUCACUGGGCGUAAAGAGCAUGUAGGCGGAUAGAAAAGUUGGAAGUGAAAUCCUGUGGCUUAACCAUAGAACUGCUUCCAAAACUCUCUAUCUAGAAUAUGGGAGAGGUAGAUGGAAUUUCUGGUGUAGGGGUAAAAUCCGUAGAGAUCAGAAGGAAUAUCGAUUGCGAAGGCGAUCUACUGGAACAUUAUUGACGCUGAGAUGCGAAAGCGUGGGGAGCAAACAGGAUUAGAUACCCGCGUAGUC
This 439-nucleotide ribosomal RNA is filed under the name uncultured bacterium. RNAcentral describes it as "partial 16S ribosomal RNA". It matches the Rfam family "Bacterial small subunit ribosomal RNA", at positions 339 to 795 of the family's 1533-position model. The record is from RNAcentral.